This 433-nucleotide ribosomal RNA is filed under the name uncultured bacterium. RNAcentral's name for it is "partial 16S ribosomal RNA". It matches the Rfam family "Bacterial small subunit ribosomal RNA", at positions 29 to 507 of the family's 1533-position model. The record is from RNAcentral.
AACGAACGCUGGCGGCAUGCCUAACACAUGCAAGUCGAACGAAGUCUUCGGACUUAGUGGCGCACGGGUGCGUAACGCGUGGGAAUCUGCCCUUGGGUACGGAAUAACUCAGAGAAAUUUGUGCUAAUACCGUAUAAUGUCUUCGGACCAAAGAUUUAUCGCCCAAGGAUGAGCCCGCGUAAGAUUAGCUAGUUGGUGGGGUAAAAGCCUACCAAGGCGACGAUCUUUAGCUGGUCUGAGAGGAUGAUCAGCCACACUGGGACUGAGACACGGCCCAGACUCCUACGGGAGGCAGCAGUGGGGAAUAUUGGACCAUGGGCGAAAGCCUGAUCCAGCAAUGCCGCGUGAGUGAUGAAGGCCCUAGGGUUGUAAAGCUCUUUUACCAGGGAUGAUAAUGACAGUAACUGGAGAAUAAGCUCCGGCUAACUCCGUG